AGAAAAGUAAACUAAAUAAAGUUAGUAGGUUCAUACCCUAAAUAUAGAAAUUAAUUCUCUUUUCUA
This 66-nucleotide transfer RNA is filed under the name Dindymus rubiginosus. RNAcentral describes it as "tRNA-Met". The record is from RNAcentral. Lineage: Eukaryota; Metazoa; Arthropoda; Insecta; Hemiptera; Pyrrhocoridae.